UACAGAGGGGGCAAGCGUUAUUCGGAAUUAUUGGGCGUAAAGGGCGCGUAGGCGGCUUGGCAAGUGGAAGGUGAAAUCCCUCGGCUUAACCGAGGAACUGCCCUCGAAACUGCUUCGCUUGAGACCGGGAGAGGUGAGUGGAAUUCCCAGUGUAGCGGUGAAAUGCGUAGAUAUUGGGAGGAACACCAGUGGCGAAGGCGGCUCACUGGACCGGUACUGACGCUGAUGCGCGAAAGCGUGGGGAGCAAACGGG
This 253-nucleotide ribosomal RNA is filed under the name uncultured bacterium. RNAcentral describes it as "partial 16S ribosomal RNA". It matches the Rfam family "Bacterial small subunit ribosomal RNA", at positions 524 to 776 of the family's 1533-position model. The record is from RNAcentral.